CCUACGGGUGGCAGCAGUGAGGAAUAUUGGUCAAUGGACGAGAGUCUGAACCAGCCAAGUAGCGUGAAGGAUGACUGCCCUAUGGGUUGUAAACUUCUUUUAUAUGGGAAUAAAACGUUCCACGUGUGGGAUUUUGUAUGUACAAUAUGAAUAAGGAUCGGCUAACUCCGUGCCAGCAGCCGCGGUAAUACGGAGGAUCCGAGCGUUAUCCGGAUUUAUUGGGUUUAAAGGGAGCGUAGGUGGAUUGUUAAGUCAGUUGUGAAAGUUUGCGGCUCAACCGUAAAAUUGCAGUUGAAACUGGCAGUCUUGAGUACAGUAGAGGUGGGCGGAAUUCGUGGUGUAGCGGUGAAAUGCUUAGAUAUCACGAAGAACUCCGAUUGCGAAGGCAGUUCACUGGACUGCAACUGACACUGAGGCUCGAAAGUGUGGGUAUCAAACAGGAUUAGAUACCCCAGUAGUC
Molecule: ribosomal RNA, 460 nt
Filed under: uncultured bacterium
Lineage: Bacteria
Description: partial 16S ribosomal RNA
Rfam family: Bacterial small subunit ribosomal RNA
Source: RNAcentral